GGCUACUGCGCCGACGCAACGGAAAAAAAAGUCGUCAGGCUGCCUCUUGGCUGCGCCAAACGCCGCCAGGCUGCAUCGCCGGAAGAGCUCCAUCAACCUGCUGUCGACAACAAAUUCUUCAUCAAACACCUCUGUCUAAAGCAUACCUUAGAGAGAAACUGGUUCUACAACCUUAAGGGCAUACCCUUGAGGAAGAUCGCAUCGUCGGGUUAUACACAAUCUCAAGGGCAUACCCUUGAGAGAGAUCACACUGCACGGGCAUAUACGCCGUUGUGGCUCUUCGGAAAGGACUACUACAAGUUCGACAGAGAAUUGACCAAGCCAGCAAUAAAGAGAUAUUUGUCAGCUCGUCAACAAUGAGAUCAUAUCGUAUCUGACAUACGCAUGCACCAUCCACGACUACAUGAGGCGAAGACUUUUUUUGUUUCUUUUGUAGUUUGUAAUAGGCUAGCCAUAUGAUGUAAUUUUAUUUUUCUUUUAU
RNAcentral lists this unclassified non-coding RNA (481 nucleotides) under Zea mays. Its description in RNAcentral is "misc RNA Zm00001eb240000". Lineage: Eukaryota; Viridiplantae; Streptophyta; Magnoliopsida; Poales; Poaceae. The record is from RNAcentral.